CAAUAAGCGGAGGAAAAGAAACCAACAGGGAUUGCCCCAGUAACGGCGAGUGAAGCGGCAACAGCUCAAAUUUGAAAUCUGGCUCCCCCCUGGGGGGCCCGAGUUGUAAUUUGGAGAGGAUGCUUUGGGCGCGGCGCCUUCCGAGUUCCUUGGAACAGGACGCCAGAGAGGGUGAGAGCCCCGUACGGUCGGACGCCUAGCCCGUGCAAAGCUCCUUCGAACGAGUCGAGUAGUUUGGGAAUGCUGCUCAAAAUGGGAGGUAAAUUUCUUCUAAAGCUAAAUACCGGCCAGAGACCGAUAGCGCACAAGUAGAGUGAUCGAAAGAUGAAAAGCACUUUGAAAAGAGGGUUAAACAGCACGUGAAAUUGUUGAAAGGGAAGCGCCUGUGGCCAGACGUGCGCCCCGCGGACCACCCGUCGCUCUGCGGCGGGGCACGCCGCGGCGGCGCAGGCCAGCAUCGGCUCUCCCAGGGGGACAAAGGCCGCGGGAACGUAGCUCCUUCGGGAGUGUUAUAGCCCGCGGCGCCAUGCCUCUGGGGGGGCCGAGG
RNAcentral lists this ribosomal RNA (547 nucleotides) under Raffaelea subalba. RNAcentral's name for it is "LSU rRNA". It matches the Rfam family "Eukaryotic large subunit ribosomal RNA", at positions 44 to 591 of the family's 3401-position model. The record is from RNAcentral. Lineage: Eukaryota; Fungi; Ascomycota; Sordariomycetes; Ophiostomatales; Ophiostomataceae.